CGCCGGCGGGGGUGUCGCGGCGCUGCUCGCGGCACCCCGGCUCCCGCCGCCUCACCUCGCUCGAUAUUGGUGAUGGCCCGCCGCAGGUGCUCCUCGGUCACCAGCUCGCCGAUGACCACCAGCAGUAGCAGCAAAGGAGCUCAUCAUUUGGGGAAGAAGAGGAAGAAGGUUGAUUCUGGUACGAUUCCCCUUCAGCCUCACAAAACCCAGGGCAUUGCACAAAGGUGUCAUCUUUCUAUGACAGAACUUGGACAAAGGGAUUUUUGAGAAGCCUGAUACAAGGACCUGGGAGCUUCCCUGUAGUUAUUAACAGAAAGGAAUGUUAUCGAUUUCAACACCUGAGAAAAAUCAAAGCAAUCCUGACAUCAAGGUGACCAUAAAAAGAUGCUUGCUUGGUAAUUCAAACCAUGAGUUUUGACAAAGAACUUUCACAGAGACAAAAAACAUUCACAGAAUCUCACAGUAAAGUUUGUUCCUUGUUUUCUCUAUGGCUAGAACAGUUCUUGUCAUUUACUGCACAAUGAAAAUAGUUUACGCUCUAAUUUUCAACAGUCCCCAGUUACAUUAGAAAUUCUAGCCCAACACUCUUAUAUUACUCCCUGAAACCCAAUAUCCUGCAUCUUCACAGCUCACACACACAUUUAAACUGAAUGCUUUUAUUUGGAUUAUUGCAGCUAGAACAGAAAGAAUCAUUACAACAUCUCCUCGAUGAAACACAGAGUUUGUAUGAUGCACACAAUAUAAUUCCACUUGGAAGGGAACAACCCCAGAACAGGAUGUGACCCUCACUCAAUACCUAAGGAGACACAGCACAGCUUUGACAUGGCAUGACUGCAUUGCUACUCAACAGCAAUAAAGAUAUGUGUUCAAGAAGUGUGCGAGGCCAGGCUGGAUGAGGCUUUGGGCAACCUGGUCUAGCAAAAGUUGUCUUUGUCCAUAGUAGAAGGGUUGGAACUAAGUUUGAUCUUUAAGGUCCUUUCCAAACUCAAUAAUUCUGUAAUGGUUAAUAUUCCAGACAAAGCCUUGGAUUACAUGUAAUUCCCCCUACAUGCUAAAAAAUGUAAAAUCUGUACACUACCAUCUAAAAAAUAAGCGUAUGAAGCCCCAGACUUUCACUUGGGAAUACUCUGUUUGGGGCCAUAUAACUGUUUUUGGUAAUGUUCUUGUAGCAACUUGAACUUAAAAGAUUAAUUAGGUGCCAAAUUCCACCAAAAUGAUCAGGAAAAAAGAGGCAAGACAUUAAGAAACCAAGAGCCGUACAGCUUCUUAGUUUUGUAUUGUCAUGGACUCUUUCAGCCCCAAAAGAGAAGGAAUAAUAUCUUUGACUCUGAUCUCUUAUCCUGGAUUAUUUCAGUUACUGGAUCUUUUUUCCUAUACAAAACACAGCUGGUUUUUUUUCAUGAAUUAACUUCUGACAGAGAAUCAGCUUUGGUGAAGUAACAGAUUUGAGUUUCUGAAACAGUUACUUCAGGCUUGGGUAAGCACUUCUGUAGAUGAGGAGCAGAGCUAUUUCCAGGUCCAUUAGAGAAUAAGAGUGAUGCCAUGGUGAUCAAUGCAAUUAUUUUGCUUCAGAUGGAAAUGGUUUGGCAGGGACAUUGCAAAGGGACAUUAACUGAAAUCUUUAUUUUUUAUUAGAUAAAUGAUGAAGAUGGUUUCUAUGUUGUUUUAAAUGGAUGUUUGCUCACUUGUAUUUUUCAGUGUAAUCUGUAAUCCAGUAAAUUUACAAUCCUUUUAAUAAACAUAAGUCUAAAAAUAGUAUUUGGUAAUCAGGACACAGGAUGUACAGAAUAGCAAUUUAGUAGUCUACAUCUAAUUGCUGAAAAACAUACCUGAAAGUGGAAAAUACAUAGAAUGAUCAUAGAAGGUUGGGUGGAAAAAGACCUUUAAGAUUAUUAAAUCAAAUACUGCAAAGUCCUCAGGUAAACCAAAUCCCUCUCUAAGUGCCACAUCUAUACAUCUUAAGUACCUCCAGGGAUACUGACUCAUCCACUACCCUGGGGAGCCUGUUCUAAUGUUUGACAGCCCUUUCAGUGCAGAAAUUUUUCCUAGUAUACAAUCUAAACCUCCCCUGGUGAAACUUGACCGCAUUUCCUCUUGUCCUAUCACUUCUUACCUAGGAGAAGAGACUAACCCUCAUGUCUCUGUAACCUCCUUUUAGGUAAUUGUGGAGUGUGGUAAGUCACAUUUCACACCCCACCCCAGCCCUGAGCCUCCUCUUCCCCAGGCUAAACACCCUCAGCUCCCUCAGCUGCUCUUCACAGGACUUGUGCUCCAAAACCUUCUGCAGCUUCAUUGUCCUUCUCUGGACAUGCUCCAGCACCUCUUUUCUUCUAGUGAGUUGCUCAAAACUGAACACAGGAUUCGAGAUGUAACUCCCCCCACAUCCAAAAAAGAAUGGAGAUUCUCCUUAGCUCUCUUUCUGUUGUUAAUGCAUUUAUAGAAUAGGAUACAGACUUUAUGUUCCAGUUAUGAAACAAUAUAAAUAUAGAAGAAAUAUUAUAUUCCUUCUUUUGUUACAAACAAGGGGCAUAUGCCAUGAACAGCAUUUUGCUUUCACUUAAAUUCUUUAUAAUCAUUAUUCCUUCUUUUCAACUGAACCAGCCCCACCACCCCCCAACAGAAAAAAAAAAAAAAAAAAAAAAAAAAAAAAAAAAAAACAAACCAAAAAAAACCACCAAAAAUAAACCCCCAUAAGCUAGUGAUGGAUGAACUAGCUAAAACGUGGUUUAAAGCUGUCUACAUGCUUGAUAUAUGUGUACAACAGCAUUCAACAUUUGAAAAAAUAAAGUGAGCUGCCAUGAGAUAAGAUUCCAUGAGAUAUUUGACAGAUCCCCUUUAAUUUGCAUGCUGGGUAAUGCUGGAGUUGUUGGAUGGAUGCCAUGAGUACAGCUCUGAAAAAACUAUCCAGAUAAUUUUGAUUUUGUCCUCCAUCAGUGUAAUGAUAUCACAGGAGGCUGAUGAUGGAAUUUCUUGUUUGAGGCAUGACGCUCCUUGCAAUUUUGAUUCUUUUACCCAGCAAUCAUGUUCUUAUGAACUGAGGUCCUGACAGGAACAUUUUCAUACCCCUACCUUUAUGGGUACCUUUUUUUCCUUUCCUUUUAAGAAAGAAGCCAGGCUAUUUGUUCAUUUUUCAUGAUAAAUUUGAACCGUGAUGUGACCAUUGCAUUUUCCCUUUUUCCUUAUUUUUUCAGUUGCUAUCUUAUGGACUUGUUUUCUUUCACUGACAAGGAGCCAAUUAAUAGAUUCUUAAGUGGUAUGAUUUGUUAUUCAGUAUCAAUGUAGUAAAUCCUUUCGUGUAGUUUGCCAAAAACCAGAGGCCUUAAUUUCCCUGGUUUCACAUUCCUGCUUCAGCUGGCAAUGUUGGAAAUGCAAUAAUAAAAAAAAAAAUUGGAUGCAUAUAAUGAUUUUCCUAUAAAUAUGAGAUAUCACUUGGCCGUCAAAAUGGAUGAUCACAUUGUGUUUUACUGAUAAAUGGUGUUUACCUUUUAGAUUUAAUGUAUAAUUUUUAAAAAUGCUUUAACUUGCAAAACAAAAACAUCUACAAAGUAGUGGUGCUUUCUUUGAAGGCACAGGCACAUAUGCUUCAUAUCUCAGUAGUAACACACUGAUUCGCAGCAACCACAGCUUCUGUGACAUGUGUUUGGAUUAAAGUAAUAAAAUAAAUGAAAUGUUUGGAUUCCAAAAUACUGGCCAGAUCUUUUAUUUAUUGACGAAUGUAAAAGAACUUGCUUUUGAGGGUAUGCAGGAGGAGGCAGGGAGCAGUUGGAUGCACUCGAAUGAAACCAAUUUACAGAGCAGUCUUUAUUCUGACAGAAAAAAACACAGUCACUGUCUUAUUGUCCACAGCCAAUCACAUCAGUGUGAGACUGGGCACUGCUUUCAAAUUACAUUGGACUGACAUAUACUUAUUUAUUAAUCCCAUCCCUUGAGCAGGCACUAUUUAAUUGCAUACUCAGACAAAGUUUAGUACAAGUCGGAUCAGAAGAUUCAUGAAAGAAUCAUGAUGAAACUGGAUUUGAUCUUAAUAUCUACAUCACUUGUCAAAUCUUUAUUCAUGAAAUAAGAAACACUGCUGAGUUUCCACUUCGUGAUGCUAUUCUGAAACUACACUAAGCUGCCAGAAGAGGUUCAGAAAAAUCUAGGAUACAGGGCAGAGAAAAUUCAUCUGUCAGAAUUUUUAAAAAGGGGCUCUUGCAGGGUCUGAACUGACUCUGAGGUUUCUGAAGAGCUGACUGAUCUCUGCUUUUCAGAAUUUAAGCACUUCAAACAAUAAUGGCCUUAUGAACCAAGAUAAUACACAUUUAGUGUCUGCUAUGUUAAAAUCUCUUCUUCUUUGGUAGGGAGACUCUUCUACUCAGUGCCAUCUUAUUUCCAUGCAUGCCCCCUCCCAAAAAAAAACCCCACCCAACAGUCUGGAGGUUGCACUACAGCAGGUGCUUAGUUUUUGCUUUGACAAUGCUUGUUUCUCCCAGCACAGGCAGCUCAGGCUGAGCUGGUACUCAGAAGCAGCUCUUGCUUAGAAGCUGGCGGAGCAGCUCAGUGUGGACACAGAUGUCCCACCAGAGGUGUACAGCAUUGCAAAGCCUGGGCCCAAGGACACAGAAUUAAGUAGGAUGGCCCUGCUGCUCUUAAGACUAAGCAAUAUUUUAAAGUGGCCAACGAUUAGUGGGUGAUGGCUGGUAAAUAAAUGAGCACACUGUGCUGUCAGAUAGCCAUUGCCAUGUAUUGACUGGUGGAGUUAUUCUGGAUGUGUACAGGUAGAGAAGAGAUCAGCAUCCUGCCUGCUAUAUGGGUUGUAAAUACAGAAUAGCAUAGCAUAUUAAAAUGAAAUGUGUGCCAGCCUUUUAUAUACAGCUUGUUUAACUUCAAAGGGGCUUCUAUAGCACAAAAGCCAUCUCAUUUACAAAAAAAAGCAAACCAAAAAUAAACAAAAAUACUCUUCAGAACUGAGAUCAUUUGCCUCCAUCUUAUACAUUGUAUACCUACUUAUAAUACGCAGUAUACCUACUUAUAUUAGUUCCAGUGUGACUCUAAUGAUAAGAAAAAUAGCAGUCCUAUAUUCACUUUUUUCCCACUGCACAUCCAUCUUCUGUAUUAGACACAUUUUACUCUACAGCCUUUCAAGAUUAUCCCUUUUUCCCUCUGAGUUGCUGUGUGUCUGAAGUCAGGCUUGUCCUUUGCUGUACAGACUGAGGAGGGGAAGAUAUGGAAACAUGGUCUGUGUUACCACACAUCCAUACACACAAGCCCCAAGCAUGUCUGGGAGCACAGGAGACCCCAGUGGCUGUGCAGCCCCCUGUCCAUCCCCCUUGUACUCAUCCUGCAGCUGCAACCAGGCUGGACAACAGCCUUUUUUCCCCCCACCCAUGCUGGAACUCCAACAGUGUGAAAAACAGAGUGCCAGGCAUGACAUGAGGUGAUCCCUGAUACAUCCUAUAUUACAGACUCCCUGGACUGUGUACCCAGGGGUCAGUGGGAAUCUGGAAGUCUAACAUGUCCAAGCAGUGUUUUCCUGGGUUUUUUUGAAGGAACGAAACCAGUUCCUAGUUUAAUAUGUAUAUGUGUGGGGAUGCUGCCCAUCCCACGAUCUGGGAAAGUUCAGAGAAUACAUCUAUUACAAAAGAACUGGGAAUGAAAAAUUCUUGUGAAAUUCAGCCUAUGUUCAUAGCCACACAAAAAGCAUAAAACCUCCUAAUUUCCUGGUCUUCAAGAGAGUCUGCCAGGAUAAAGAAAAUAUAGUUUACUAAUGUAAGAAAUAAGCACACUGUGUGAUAUUGAGCAGGGAAACUCUCACACAGAGGUCACAAGCCUUUGUUUAUAUUCUGCCUGGCUAGAAGCAUGUACCUUCCUUGGGAAAAAAAUGUGUUAUUGUUGAAUUAUUCAGUUUUACUUCAUUUACAUGCAGGUAUAGGUGGAUAUUCUCAGUUCAGUCAGAGAGAAAAGGAGACAUUUCUACCAGGCUUGGCCUGGGAAGAGUUUCAAAUUAAUGUAAAUAAUUCUCUAUCUCUCUUGUUGUUCACCUUGUUUAUAGAUAUGUUCUGCCACUGUGCAUCAUUCACAGCGCACCAAUGGCAUGCGAUACUCUUACUUUAAGACCAGUGAAAUCGGUCUGCAUGAUAUUCUCCAUAAAAAGAGCAGUGUAUUUUAAAUAAAUCAGUUCUCUUCUUGC
This is a long non-coding RNA of Taeniopygia guttata (zebra finch), 6169 nucleotides long. RefSeq lists it as uncharacterized. Lineage: Eukaryota; Metazoa; Chordata; Aves; Passeriformes; Estrildidae. The record is from RefSeq and is a predicted model, not a curated record.